AUAUAUGUAUAUAAUAUAAAUAUUUAUAGUGUCUUGCCAUCCUUGUUCAGUUUUAAACACCCUUUAUGUAGCAGUGUCUCCAUUCUUAACCCUGCUUCUCUGUUGGCGCACAGUGUAGUCCUGUUUUCAUUUUGUCCUUUAGCAGGGGCAGUCCACAGCCCAGUUGUACUAGGUUGUGGGGAGGCCAAAUAAGGUGCUGGAGACAGCAUGGGAGAUAUGGUUUAUCCAGGAAAACUUCUAACAGAUCAAUGACGGCUCCACGAAGAGUUCCGUGGCAACAGGCUGAACAGAUAGCAUCUGGGUCCCUGAAGGAAUUCAUUUACACCCUUAUCAACUGAAGGGAGUCAACUGGCUAGCCCAGGGAUUCCACUGUCAAAAUGGCUGCAUCCUGGGAGAUGAGAUGGGCCUUGGUAAGACCUGCCAGACGAUUGCUCUCCUCAUUUACUUGACGGGAAGGUUAAAUGAUGAAGGACCAUUUCUGAUUCUUAGUCCUCUGUCUGUUUUGGACAACUGGAAAGAAGAAAUGGAAAGGUACAGAGUAGAUGUAGCUGAACUUGUAUUGUUUAUGUUAAGAUAUUUUUCUAGAUGAUGGAUAAAAGAUCAUAAAGCAAAAUCUUGUCAUAUUCAAUGAUUUUUAUUCCAGAAAGGUUGAACUGAAACAGUGUAGGCAAGACACAAGAUCUGAUAGGGGAGGAUCCAGUGGGUUUUACUGUUACCCUUCUACAAUUUAAAGGCUAGUACUUAUUCUCAGUAAAUUUUACUGAUGUAAAGGAGAAACUGCCCUUCUCAUAGUAACAUAGGAAGUAACUAAAGUGAGAAACAUCAUUGCAUUUUUAGUUAGCAUGAGACACUCUUAGACCUGAUCCUUCUCCCUGCUUAACACAGACCUUAUCCUGGGGUUUAACCAUUAUUCUAGGUACAGUUCUGUGACCAGCACCUAAUGAAUGGCAUCUGCACACUGCAGUCAGUCCAUGACAUACACACACCAUCUCAUGGCUGUGGCAUUUGGGUUCAUCUGAUUCUUUCCUUGGAUUUAGAUUUGCUCCAGGUCUUUCUUGUAUAACAUAUGCAGGGGACAAGGAGGAAAGAGCCCAUCUUCAGCAAGACUAAAACAGAAGUCACGUUUUCAUGUGCUGCUGACUACCUAUGAAGUAUUCAUUCGUUUCUCCUAACCUGGGUCCUUAGAAGUUGUAGAACCCACUGAAUUAUAUUGACUUUUUUUUUUGAGAGCACACAUUUUUCUAGGAGGACAUCCACCUUCAACACAUUGUCAAAGAGGGACUGUGACCAAACGAAGUGUAGGAUCACUGUGCUUCAAGGUAGCUAGACAUAUUUCCCUCUCUACUGGUGGAUUAAGGGGAAAGCUUCCCAGAAAGUGGCACUUUAACCCUCUUUGUUGAUGAACAGGAUGAGGCAGGCAGCAGGGCAGAGGGUUUCAU
Ictidomys tridecemlineatus (thirteen-lined ground squirrel) is the source of this 1439-nucleotide non-coding RNA. The record is from RefSeq and is a predicted model, not a curated record. Lineage: Eukaryota; Metazoa; Chordata; Mammalia; Rodentia; Sciuridae.